RNAcentral lists this ribosomal RNA (503 nucleotides) under uncultured bacterium. RNAcentral's name for it is "partial 16S ribosomal RNA". It matches the Rfam family "Bacterial small subunit ribosomal RNA", at positions 30 to 523 of the family's 1533-position model. The record is from RNAcentral.
AUUGAACGCUGGCGGCAGGCUUAACACAUGCAAGUCGAGCGGGGUGAUGGUGCUUGCACUAUCACUUAGCGGCGGACGGGUGAGUAAUGCUUAGGAAUCUGCCUAUUAGUGGGGGACAACAUCUCGAAAGGGAUGCUAAUACCGCAUACGUCCUACGGGAGAAAGCAGGGGAUCACUUGUGACCUUGCGCUAAUAGAUGAGCCUAAGUCGGAUUAGCUAGUUGGUGGGGUAAAGGGCUACCAAGGCGACGAACGUUAGCGGGUCUGAGAGGAUGAUCCGCCACACUGGGACUGAGACACGGCCCAGACUCCUACGGGAGGCAGCAGUGGGGAAUAUUGGACAAUGGGGGGAACCCUGAUCCAGCCAUGCCGCGUGUGUGAAGAAGGCCUUAUGGUUGUAAAGCACUUUAAGCGAGGAGGAGGCUCUUUUGGUUAAUACCCAAGAUGAGUGGACGUUACUCGCAGAAUAAGCACCGGCUAACUCUGUGCCAGCCGCCGCCGUAA